CCUACGGGUGACAGCAGUGGGGAAUAUUGGGCAAUGGGCGCAAGCCUGACCCAGCAACGCCGCGUGAAGGAAGAAGGCUUUCGGGUUGUAAACUUCUUUUCUCAGGGACGAAGCAAGUGACGGUACCUGAGUAAUAAGCUACGGCUAACUACGUGCCAGCAGCCGCGGUAAUACGUAGGGGGCAAGCGUUAUCCGGAUUUACUGGGUGUAAAGGGCGUGGAGGCGGGAAAGCAAGUCAGAUGUGAAAACCAUGGGCUCAACCUGUGGCCUGCAUUUGAAACUGUUUUUCUGGAGUACUGGAGAGGCAGACAGAAUUCCUGGUGUAGCGGUGAAAUGCGUAGAUAUUAGGAGGAACACCAGUGGCGAAGGCGGUCUGCUGGACAGCAACUGACGCUGAGGCGCGAAAGCGUGGGGAGCAAACAGGAUUAGAUACCCUGGUAGUC
This 443-nucleotide ribosomal RNA is filed under the name uncultured bacterium. RNAcentral describes it as "partial 16S ribosomal RNA". It matches the Rfam family "Bacterial small subunit ribosomal RNA", at positions 338 to 795 of the family's 1533-position model. The record is from RNAcentral.